RNAcentral lists this ribosomal RNA (477 nucleotides) under uncultured bacterium. RNAcentral's name for it is "partial 16S ribosomal RNA". It matches the Rfam family "Bacterial small subunit ribosomal RNA", at positions 28 to 507 of the family's 1533-position model. The record is from RNAcentral.
GAUGAACGCUGGCGGCGUGCCUAAUACAUGCAAGUCGAGCGAACAGACGAGGAGCUUGCUCCUCUGACGUUAGCGGCGGACGGGUGAGUAACACGUGUAUAACCUACCUAUAAUACUGGGAUAACUUCGGGAAACCGGAGCUAAUACCGGAUAAUAUAUUGAACCGCAUUGUUCAAUAGUGAAAUACGGUUUUUGUGUCGCUUGUAGAUGGAUCCGCGCCUGAUUAGCUAGUUGGUAAGGUAGCGGCUUACCAAGGCAACGACGCGUAGCCGACAGGAGAGGGUGACCGGCAACAGUGGGAAGGAGAGACGGCCCAGACUCCGAAGGGAGGCAGCAGUGGGGAAUAGUGCACAAUGGUCGGAAGCAUAAAGCAGCAACGCCGCGUGCGGGAUGACGGACGUCGGGUUGUAAACCGCGUUCGCCUGUGACGAAGCGUGAGUGACGGUAAUGGAUAAAGAAGCACCGGCUAACUACGUG